AGCUUUGUGCAGUGGCAGUAUCAUAGCCAAUGAGGUUUAUCCGAGGCAUGAUUAUUGCUAAUUGAAAAAUUGAGGAAUAGUU
Molecule: small nuclear RNA, 82 nt
Filed under: Gorilla gorilla gorilla (western lowland gorilla)
Lineage: Eukaryota; Metazoa; Chordata; Mammalia; Primates; Hominidae
Description: U4 spliceosomal RNA (ENSGGOG00000038286.1)
Rfam family: U4 spliceosomal RNA (bases 1-73)
About the family: U4 small nuclear RNA (U4 snRNA) is a component of the major U2-dependent spliceosome. The structure of U4 snRNA from yeast and human has been reported.
Source: RNAcentral